CCCCCCCCCCCUAAUAUACAAUACAGUUUGGAAAACCUAAAGCCUCAUCAGGCUGAGACUGGCAUAAAUUGAGGUAAAAUCUGCAGUUGUCUGCCCCCCUUUUUUACUCAGUGAGAUCAUGGUCCCAGGAGAUCCAUGCUUUAUGGACAAUAGGAUUUGCUUGGCCUCGCUGUUUGUUAUGCUUAUUUGAGCACAUGAAGCUCCUGAUUUUGGGCUUCCAAGUUUGAAUCCAAAGUAGGCUUACUUUGUUCACUUGACUAUCAUUUACGGCUGUUCUUGUAAUCCCUCCAAAUGUAUGCUCAUGUUUAAUAUUGUCCUGGUUCUGUUUGUCAUAUAUUUAUUAGCAAUCUGUUGACCAUUUCACAUAAAGUUUUUAAAAGCAUCACUGGAUGAAAAGGUAUGUAGAGAAGGUGGACAAUUGCAAGUAAAAUUGGCAUUGUUUUCUUUUGCAUAUACUUUGAUGGUUUUCUUGAUAACCUUGAAUGUCAUAAUAUUAUCAGUCGUGAGACACAAUAAAGAAAAGAAAAAAAAAAAACCUGAAAUGAAUGAGCAACUACAUUUAUUAUAUCUGUGCAUUAAUUGCAUCCUCUUCACCAAGUGUGAAAGUGAAACGGAUAUUCACACGUCCGGUUUACACGAAUGUAGGUCAAAAGAAUUGCGUCAAGAACCUUUCAACCAGGCUCUGCAACAGGAAGGCCCAUGAGGGGGGAGCCCUUGAUGUGAAGGGCAGUGUGCACAGGCCGAGGUUUGAGAAUCGUCUGGUGCAAGCUUGUUCAAAGGCUCGUCUCAUUGAUGGAACAACGAAUAAGGUCAAAUGGAACAGCCGCAAAGAGGAGAAGAUGGUGCGAGAUGAAAAGGUUUUCCAGGGGAACUCAAAGGUCGCACCUGUCAAGCAUGCGGAUGUUGAAAGACGAGUUGGUUGUGAUUUUCUACAACAAUACACGAAGAUGGAACAAUACCUUGCUGGGCAGGCAAUUAGAUGUUUCUUACCAAAAUCAAAUGAAUCAUUCAUUUUCGCCACAAUGAGAAUGACAGACAUCAACACCAACUGAUUGCUGACUCAUUAUUUCAGCAUGGAAAUGAUAUUCCAACACCUUUGUGUCGUCGGUCGCUUGUGUCAUCUCAUUGACCCAUUGUAUUGAAUCGCAAAGAACGGGAGGUGAAAACUACGUACAUGAAUGAGGAAAUACAUUCUGAUCCUCCCUCUU
Molecule: long non-coding RNA, 1208 nt
Organism: Eptatretus burgeri (inshore hagfish)
Lineage: Eukaryota; Metazoa; Chordata; Myxini; Myxiniformes; Myxinidae
Source: Ensembl